Molecule: long non-coding RNA, 116 nt
Organism: Gavialis gangeticus (Gharial)
Lineage: Eukaryota; Metazoa; Chordata; Crocodylia; Gavialidae
Exons: 3
Source: RefSeq, a predicted model, not a curated record
ACCCUGAUGGGCUGAGUGAGGAGAACCAAAUGCUGUUGGAUGUCCUGGAGAUGUCUGACCAUAGAAUGGAGGCACUUGAUAAUGCAGAGAUGCUGCUACUGAACACAAUGGAGGCU